CUAGAGUGCUUCUCUUCU
Molecule: microRNA, 18 nt
Filed under: Callorhinchus milii (elephant shark)
Lineage: Eukaryota; Metazoa; Chordata; Chondrichthyes; Chimaeriformes; Callorhinchidae
Description: eshark_NOVEL_129
Source: RNAcentral